GGAGGCUUCUGAGACCGAGAGCCCCUUGCAGAUAAGGAGUGUGGGGUUCAUCUCUGUACCUCCGUUCCUAGCCCGUUCCUGAACUUCAGGAGUGAAUGAGAAAAAGAAAUCGAAAGGAAAGGAAAGGAAAGGACAGGACUGCUGCUAGGUAUGGUGGAGGAGAAAGUUUAGUGCAGAUGAAAGGGAGAGCAUAGCCAGAGGCAGGACAUCUGAGUUCAGAGAGGUCUGGCCGGACUGAGCUGGGCCAUGUGGGGCACAGAAGAAGCCAGCUGCAGCAGCCAGGAGACAAGAGGCCUGUAGCCAAAAUGUCUGGAUUGCAUAGGGAAGAGCCUCUGGCGGAAGGGCAGCCCAGCCUCUGGGCUGGAGAGUUCAAGGCCGAGCGCAUGUCAGCCGUACUCUGUAACAGGACCCGAGAGACGCCCCAGACAGUCCCCUCUCCAGUGAAAAGAGGAGGGGCUGUGGAGAGCUGCAACAGAGGUCGGCCACUAAUAGCUCCUUCAUAGUCCUUGUUCGUUUGUCUCUGCAGACUCAGCUCACCACUAAGGAGCCUCAGGUUGCUUACGGGGCCUAAACUCCGCCUUCCUCCUCAGCUGCUUCACCGAGGAUCAAGCACUGGGCUAGGUGAAUGUCAGUUAUUCACUCUUAGCCCCGGACAAGCCCAGGGGCUCAGGGAAACCAACCUUUGCAGAACUUGCCCGUGGCUGGCCUUUUUGAGGCACAAUCUAAGCACAGCACAGAAGAACCAGACUCAGAUGCAGAAAAACUUCAGCCUGUAGGAGUCGUACAGAUCAGGUGGCCCCAUCUAGAGAUGACUACCCUUCUUCACCAAAAGGACAAUUGGCAAAAUGGCCAUCAUUAUGACAUGUUGGGCGCUGACUGCUUAAACAGGAGUGGAGCCCCUCGGUGGGCUUAGAUGCGAUCACCGGGUGGCUUUUCUGAAGGAAAACCAAGGCCUGGAAGCCACAGUCACCUUGAUACCUAAACCACACAAAGACCCAACAAAAAAAGAGAACUUCAGAUCUAUCUCUUUUAUGAACAUUGAUGCAAAAAUACUCAAUAAAAUACUGGCAAACCAAAUCCAAAAAACACAGCCAGACCCAGGUAGCAGACUCCAGGUUCAGCCUGACCAGGGAACCACCACGUUGCAAAUAUAGUAGAGACGACAGCACAGGAGAGAGCCAGCACAGGUGGGAAUUCUGGAGAGACUUCCCCCAGCGCAGCAGCCGUGUGAGAGAAACCCCUCAAGAGCCAUCACCCAUCCGCUCUGUCAGCUUCUGGAAGCAGUGCAGCCUUCUGGGGCCUUUUGCUGACUAGGUGUCCGUCCCAUACACACACUAGCACAUACUAGGUACACAUGGGCCUAGUGACGGGAUGUGGUGAUGAGCAGGUGGACAGGCAAUGGCCACCCAUUUUGAGACAGUUUCAGGAAGCAGGGGACUGAGGCUGGUGGACAGAGAACACACCAGGAAAGAACCCAUUUAAUUACUUGAUAACGUCCAAAAGGGAUCAGAGAGGCAUGUUGGGCAUCGCUGGAAAGAUUCUGCUUGCUUUGGAAACUUCUAGGAAAGGAGAGGUCCAGACUUCGUCUGAUCACUUCAGGAAGUAGGAGGAAAUUGAAGCAGUCAUUAACAGUCUCCCCUCCAAAAAAAGCCCUUGGCCAGAUGGUUUCAGUGCAGAAUUCUACCAGACCUUCAAAGAAGAGCUAACUCCAAUUCUCUCCAAACUAUUCCACAAAAUAGAAACAGAAGGAACAUUACCAAACUCAUUCUACGAAGCCACAGUCACCUUGGUACCUAAACCACACAAAGACCCAACAAAAAAAGAGAACUUCAGAUCUAUCUCUUUUAUGAACAUUGAUGGAAAAAUACUCAAUAAAAUACUGGCAAACCAAAUCCAAAAACACAUAAAAGAUAUCAUCUACCAUGACCAAGUAGGCUUCAUCCCAGGCAUGCAAGGGUGGUUCAAUAUAUGGAAAUCCAUCAAUGUAAUCCACCAUAUAAACAAACAGAAGAGAAAAACCACAUGAUCAUCUCCUUAGAUGCCGAAAAAGCACUUGACAAAAUCCAACACCCAUUCACAUUUAAAGUCUUGGAGAGAUCAGGGAUUCAAGGAACAUAUCUAAACAUAGUAAAGGCAAUAUAAAGGGUGGACUUUGACACAUCGUGGGGUUUUCAGUGGCCUGGGGUGGCCAUGCGGAAGAUUGAUGGAGAAGGAUGGUCUUUUGGAGGAGCCAGCUGUCAGGCCUCAAGAACCCUCAGAAAGACAGAGCAUGGCCAUGCUUACACAGAGCCUUAUUUUACUUCCUGCAUGUGAAACUGAAAAAAAAGAAAAGAAAAAGAAAGUCCUGAUUUUCCUUUUAUAGUGGUCAAAACUUCCAAAAUAGUUCUUUUUCCAGUUCAGUUACUUUAAGGAUAAGAUUAUGUGUGCAGGGAUAUUUAGCCAUCACUGCGUUCGGCAAACGCAGCUCUAGGGUGUUUGCAGCCACAGUGUCCUGUGUCCAUACCCUUGCAGGCUCCCGAGGCUCCACAGCAGCCUGCCCUUCCGCCCACAUGGAGCUGUGUCUCUCCGUCCUUCUCCAGGCUGAGAAGCCGGUGGCAUUCCUACAAAGAUAGCAGCAGGCAGUUGAUUUGGAACUAGACGGUGAGAUGGCAGGGGAUAAGGCCCCUGUCCCUGCCUCCAGGAAGCUCUGUAGUCCUAGGAACCCCGCUGAGGGCAGACUGGAUUGCUGUGGGCCUGGUGGGGUGAUGGGCUUGACCAGAUUUAGGAUUGCAAGUCCCACAUCUCAGGACUGCUUCCCCGCACCUCCAGGUUAGUGAGGAGAUCCUGGCCGUUCAACCUAGCAGGGACUCCAACUGGGGAUUCCUUCCCUCCUCAUCUCAUCCCUCACCUUCACUCACCACCCAACAGGCCUUUGAAACAAUCUAGCAUGUCCUACUAGAUAACGGUAGUAAAAUGAACAAUAGCAACCCACUUUAUAUCAUUUCUCCACCAUGCUGCUUGUCAUAAUCACUUGGAAAAUUUUAAAAAAUGAUGAAGGGCUUCGGUCCCACCUUGGUAAUGAGGUGUGACGGGCUUUCCACAAGUGUCCUCCUGUGCAGCAGAUGGAGAGUCACUACCUAGGCUUGAGGAUAUCAGAAGGAGGCGGUGGGAAAGGGGCAGCUGAGUCCUCUGUCCCUCAGCGGUUUCUGCUGGUAGCCAGACCCGGGCUCCUUCCUUGUGGCUGGCACAGGACAGGAUCCCACAGACUCCACAGCCUGCCUCCAGAGAUGCAGUGUGUGUGUGUGGGGGGGCAGCGUAGCAGCAGGCGAGGCUUGGACAGCCAAGGGAAGAGAUCCUCUGUAGUGGGUCUGAGGACCCCCGUCUGCCCAUUUCCAGCCUCCUGGCCCAGCUUCAACAGUUCCUGGGCUGCAGCUCCCCAGCGAGGUCCUAGGUUUUCCAUUUGUCACCUCCAUAAGAGAAAUUAACAGUUUGCCAGGUCCCGUGUAAACAGGAAGCCAAGCUGUUAACAGGAGCCCCCUGCCCUGCUGCCAGGCUCAGACCCGGUGGUGCCCCCCCCAGCCUGUCAAUUGUGAGGCAGAGAAAAGGAAGAGCCGUGGGAGCCGCUUUCUCUGGGCGCUGGCUGGGCUCCCUUGCAGUCACUUGAAUGCAAGUGUGUGUGGUGGGGGUGGCUGACAGCUGGGUGGCUCCAUCCUUUUUUGUUGUUGUUGGGGGAUGGCUGCUGAUUAAGUCAGGAGCAAAGCAAUGCUAUGGUAGUCCUGGCUGUGCGCACCGAUGCUGUGAGCUGCCGAGAACAAUUAAUUGCCGUGUUGUGGGAUGCGCACAUGGGUCAAGCAGGCAGUGGAAAGCGUAAGCAUGCGGGGAACCGUCAAGCAAAUCUUGUGCCCACUAGAAGCCGGCUCCCCACAGGACCCAAGACCUCCGUGGUGACAGGGGCCUGGUCACCUCCUGCAGGCCAACGGCCUUCCCAACUGGGGUGCUGUGGCUUGCUGGUAAGCUGCAGGUGGAUCACGCUCUGCCAGCAAGGCAGGAGCCUCUCAGCUCUGUGGUGGCGGAUUCACCCAUUCACUAGAAACUAUGGUGCAAAAAGUGCCCAUUUUCCCUCUAGGUUGAAGUAUGAAAAAGGGGUUCCUUCCCCAAAACAGUUGUAGUUAUAGGCCUGGGUCUGUUGGUUGUGGUUUUUUUUUUUUUUUUUUUUUUUUAGAUCCAUUUUUUGUAUUUCAUGUAUGUGUUUUGCUUACAUGUAUGAGUGGGAUCAUGGUGCCAGUG
This is a long non-coding RNA of Meriones unguiculatus (Mongolian gerbil), 4266 nucleotides long. RefSeq lists it as uncharacterized. NCBI's taxonomy places the organism in Eukaryota, Metazoa, Chordata, Mammalia, Rodentia, Muridae. The record is from RefSeq and is a predicted model, not a curated record. The transcript has 3 exons.